Molecule: transfer RNA, 66 nt
Filed under: Lepidotrigona terminata
Lineage: Eukaryota; Metazoa; Arthropoda; Insecta; Hymenoptera; Apidae
Description: tRNA-Leu
Source: RNAcentral
UUUAAUAUGGCAGAAUAGUGCUUUGAAUUUAAGAUUCAAGAAUAAAAUUUUUAAUUUUUAUUAAAA